RNAcentral lists this ribosomal RNA (497 nucleotides) under uncultured bacterium. RNAcentral describes it as "partial 16S ribosomal RNA". It matches the Rfam family "Bacterial small subunit ribosomal RNA", at positions 28 to 507 of the family's 1533-position model. The record is from RNAcentral.
GAUGAACGCUGGCGGCGUGCCUAAUACAUGCAAGUCGAGCGAACGGACGAGAAGCUUGCUUCUCUGAUGUUAGCGGCGGACGGGUGAGUAACACGUGGAUAACCUACCUAUAAGACUGGGAUAACUUCGGGAAACCGGAGCUAAUACCGGUUAAUAUUUUGAACCGCAUGGUUCAAAAGUGAAAGACGGUCUUGCUGUCACUUAUAGAUGGAUCCGCGCUGCAUUAGCUAGUUGGUAAGGUAACGGCUUACCAAGGCAACGAUGCAUAGCCGACCUGAGAGGGUGGGCGCCCGCACUGGAAGUGGGACGGGCACCAGAGUCCUGAGGGAGGGACCAGUCGGGAAUCUUCGGCAGUGGGGGGAAGCCUUGCGGAACAGCGCGACGUGAGUGGCAGCGGCCUUCGGAGCGUAAUACCGUGUUAUGAGGGAAAAACAUAUUUGUAAGUAACUGUACCCUUCUUGACGGUACUUAAUAAAAAAGCACCGGCUAACUACGUG